RNAcentral lists this ribosomal RNA (432 nucleotides) under uncultured bacterium. Its description in RNAcentral is "partial 16S ribosomal RNA". It matches the Rfam family "Bacterial small subunit ribosomal RNA", at positions 29 to 507 of the family's 1533-position model. The record is from RNAcentral.
AACGAACGCUGGCGGCAUGCCUAACACAUGCAAGUCGAACGAGACCUUCGUGUCUGGUUGCUCACGGGUGCGUCACGUGUGGGAACCUGCCCGUAGGCUCGGAAUAACUCCUCUAAGGGGGUGCUAACACCGGAUAAUUUCUUCGAACCAAGGAUUCAUCCCCUAUGGAUGGGCCCGCGUUCGUUUAGCUAGUUGGUAGGGUAUAAGCCUACGGAGGCGUCGAUCCAUGGCUGGGCUGAGAGGAUGAUCCGCCACACUGAGACGGGGACACGUCCCAGACUCCUGCGAGAGGGAGCAGUGGUAAUAUAGGACAAUGGGGGAAGGCCUGAUCCAGCACUGCCGCGUAAGUGAUGAAGGCCUUAGAGUAGUAAAGCUCUUUUACACGGGGUGAUAAUGACGGUACCGAGAGAAUAAGCUCCGGCUAACUCCGUG